GAGGGAGCUCCCGGCAGAGCUGCUGCACUGCCCUGAUUAGGGGCAGGAGAGAUUGAUUUGUGAUGAAUGAAUAAAGAGGUGAGAUUAAAGCACGGCUAAAUGGCGAGGAAGAGGGAAGAGUCUGAGUGAGAUUUAAGCCUGCAAAAUAAUCCCCUCAUUGGACAUGCAGAAGCAGCCGCAAUACUUGGCAGAUGUGAAAACAAAUUGGAUGACAGAGAAGGGGAUUUAAGCAAGACAUCCUAAAGGAAGGUCAGCUCCUGGGGUGGCAGCCCCAGAUUUACCACCCUGGAGCAGACCAUCCACCCAAGCAGCCUCGUGCCUGGACAUGUGUGGGCACUGCCUACACAGCUCCUUGCCAGGCUGGGCAGCUGUCCAGGAGGAGCUCAUGGCACUUCCCCCAGCAUUUUUCCACCUGGGUGAGGUUUUCCCUUGAGAGGGCGACACACUUUCACAGGAGUCACAGAGAGCAAUCUUGUUGGGAAUACACAGAGUUAACUUUACUCAUCCAUCUUAAUAGGACUUAUAUUAUUUUCCUUGAUGGUUCUGAUUUUCUAUCCCAUUAAUAAUAAAAAAGCUUCUCUGCUUAUAUAUAAUGCAAUUCAACAAUAAGUCUCAAAGGAGGAUCAAGAUCACUUUGGCUUUCCAUCAAUUUGAUACUGACGCCUCUCCAGUUAAACAACUCGAGUGUGAGAUGAGCAAAAGGGAGCAGAGAUUCUUCCUAGCUUGAGACUGAACCUGAAUCUCUCUGGAAGCAACAGGAAUCUUCCAGUGGAUGUCAGUAGACUUUGCAUCACCACCCAAAGGGUGUAUCAGGGAAGGUGAAGGCUCUGUAAAUCAGGUGCCACGCUGACUUUGGGGGAGCGUGGCUGAUCUUGACUGCCUGAGAACUGGGGCAGAGGACACCAUGUGAAGGGUCUGUGAUUAUUUUUUCUGAUGCAAAUGUUCCAAACUGGUGUUUGGGAAAAGGGCUUGUUAGUCAGUGUUUGCCGAAUGGAAUACUUCAUGACAGCGCUAAUUAAAAUAAAUGAAACUUGACUUUU
Long non-coding RNA from Empidonax traillii (willow flycatcher), 1040 nucleotides. RefSeq lists it as uncharacterized. NCBI's taxonomy places the organism in Eukaryota, Metazoa, Chordata, Aves, Passeriformes, Tyrannidae. The transcript has 2 exons. The record is from RefSeq and is a predicted model, not a curated record.